AGAGUUUGAUCAUGGCUCAGAUUGAACGCUGGCGGCAGGCCUAACACAUGCAAGUCGAACGGUAACAGGAAGCAGCUUGCUGCUUUGCUGACGAGUGGCGGACGGGUGAGUAAUGUCUGGGAAACUGCCUGAUGGAGGGGGAUAACUACUGGAAACGGUAGCUAAUACCGCAUAAUGUCGCAAGACCAAAGAGGGGGACCUUCGGGCCUCUUGCCAUCGGAUGUGCCCAGAUGGGAUUAGCUAGUAGGUGGGGUAAAGGCUCACCUAGGCGACGAUCCCUAGCUGGUCUGAGAGGAUGACCAGCCACACUGGAACUGAGACACGGUCCAGACUCCUACGGGAGGCAGCAGUGGGGAAUAUUGCACAAUGGGCGCAAGCCUGAUGCAGCCAUGCCGCGUGUAUGAAGAAGGCCUUCGGGUUGUAAAGUACUUUCAGCGGGGAGGAAGGGAGUAAAGUUAAUACCUUUGCUCAUUGACGUUACCCGCAGAAGAAGCACCGGCUAACUCCGUGCCAGCAGCCGCGGUAAUACGGAGGGUGCAAGCGUUAAUCGGAAUUACUGGGCGUAAAGCGCACGCAGGCGGUUUGUUAAGUCAGAUGUGAAAUCCCCGGGCUCAACCUGGGAACUGCAUCUGAUACUGGCAAGCUUGAGUCUCGUAGAGGGGGGUAGAAUUCCAGGUGUAGCGGUGAAAUGCGUAGAGAUCUGGAGGAAUACCGGUGGCGAAGGCGGCCCCCUGGACGAAGACUGACGCUCAGGUGCGAAAGCGUGGGGAGCAAACAGGAUUAGAUACCCUGGUAGUCCACGCCGUAAACGAUGUCGACUUGGAGGUUGUGCCCUUGAGGCGUGGCUUCCGGAGCUAACGCGUUAAGUCGACCGCCUGGGGAGUACGGCCGCAAGGUUAAAACUCAAAUGAAUUGACGGGGGCCCGCACAAGCGGUGGAGCAUGUGGUUUAAUUCGAUGCAACGCGAAGAACCUUACCUGGUCUUGACAUCCACGGAAGUUUUCAGAGAUGAGAAUGUGCCUUCGGGAACCGUGAGACAGGUGCUGCAUGGCUGUCGUCAGCUCGUGUUGUGAAAUGUUGGGUUAAGUCCCGCAACGAGCGCAACCCUUAUCCUUUGUUGCCAGCGGUCCGGCCGGGAACUCAAAGGAGACUGCCAGUGAUAAACUGGAGGAAGGUGGGGAUGACGUCAAGUCAUCAUGGCCCUUACGACCAGGGCUACACACGUGCUACAAUGGCGCAUACAAAGAGAAGCGACCUCGCGAGAGCAAGCGGACCUCAUAAAGUGCGUCGUAGUCCGGAUUGGAGUCUGCAACUCGACUCCAUGAAGUCGGAAUCGCUAGUAAUCGUGGAUCAGAAUGCCACGGUGAAUACGUUCCCGGGCCUUGUACACACCGCCCGUCACACCAUGGGAGUGGGUUGCAAAAGAAGUAGGUAGCUUAACCUUCGGGAGGGCGCUUACCACUUUGUGAUUCAUGACUGGGGUGAAGUCGUAACAAGGUAACCGUAGGGGAACCUGCGGUUG
Molecule: ribosomal RNA, 1522 nt
Filed under: Escherichia coli
Lineage: Bacteria; Pseudomonadati; Pseudomonadota; Gammaproteobacteria; Enterobacterales; Enterobacteriaceae
Description: bacterial SSU rRNA
Rfam family: Bacterial small subunit ribosomal RNA
Source: RNAcentral